UUGUUUAUAGCGUAAAAACAUCUUUGAGUCGAAAAGAAACACAUAUUAGAACAUCAAACAUACAUCUAUAUUAAAAUCUAAAAUUUUUUAAUCAGCUUUCGAAUUAAAAAGUAAAAGCAAACCAAUUACGACUUCCACACAAAAUCUAGAGUGCUAGUUACAAAUUUAUCGAGAACAACACUAAAUCACCCACAAUUCAACAAAUUCAUUAAAGAUAUUUCAAAUCUACAAUCUUUAUGGUAAAACGCAAACAUGAUCUCUUAUAUAUUUCAAUCAUUUCCACAUUUUGUGCUUCCCUCCAAAAAACCCAUGGUGCUUUCCACCAAACACCCCAUGCUUCCAUCGAUUCCCAAACUUUCCAUGUUUAAAUUUCCCAUGCUUAAACUUUCCAUGGUGACCAAAGGGUCGACCAUAACCAUAACCAUAACCAUGGGACCCAUGACCAUGAGCUAGAUGGUGGGCCCCAUAUGCAGCGGCAGCAACCGCCGCACCUCCCGCUAGUAUUGUACCCAUGCCCGGUCCUGGUCCUCCAUGCCCUGAAUUUUUCUAGUUAGACCAAUGCAUUUAAUGCAAGAAAUAGCAACGUACUUUUAUCGAUUUGUUUAUUAUAUUAUCCGACUUUAUUAUCCUAUAAUAUACAAAAAAAAUUGUAAUAUACAAAAAAAAAAGUAAGUUAUUACUUCUUGCACUUAUCCUUGAAAAGUAAUUUAGAGCGAAUGGUAAGGAUUACAUAAAAGAAACCUGAUUGAAAUGGAGCAGAUUGUCCAGGGUAGCCUGAUGAUGGUCCAGGAUAGCCUGAUGGUGGGUAGCCUGCAGGCGGAUAGCCGGUGGGAGGAUAUCCAUGUGAUGGAUAUCCUCCCUGUGGUGGAUAUCCGCCUCCGNNNNNNNN
Molecule: long non-coding RNA, 889 nt
Filed under: Lactuca sativa (garden lettuce)
Lineage: Eukaryota; Viridiplantae; Streptophyta; Magnoliopsida; Asterales; Asteraceae
Description: long non-coding RNA (LSAT_LNC000485)
Source: RNAcentral